CUCAGAUGCGUGAGCGUGAGUCAAUCGGCCACCAACACCUCGCCUCGCCUCCCCUGCCCACGGUCCGCCUGCCUCUGUAUCCAUCCACGUCUGCUUCCAUGCCCUCGCCCCGGCGCCCCUCCUCCUUCCCGGUCCCGCACGCGAUGCCCCGCCGUGACAGCCGCCGCCCCAUCAACGGCCUCGCCCUCCUUCCUCCACCGUCCCGCUCGCACGAAUCUCGUUCGCAGCGACGCUAUCGCGGGCCUGUGGUGCAAGGAGACCGCCACGCUCGCUGUCGGGGCUUCCGCGCUCUCCUCCUGGCAUGAUGGUGGUACUCGUCUAAUGGGGCUCGCACCGUCAGGGCCUCCGCGCUCUCCUCCCGGUGAUGCCAUAUGCCGUCGUUAAGGGCAAGUUUCCUGUAUUCCAGUUGCUCCGACUGAGAAGAAAGAGUAGAUGUAUAUCAUUUAUGUAUGCUGGGAAAAUACAUUGUUCUGGUCGCCGUGAAAUUUCCGCAGUGGAGAGUGUGUGUAUGCGUCAUGGUGAUGAGGUAGAGUUGGAUGGCAUAUGUGCAUUUCUGUUCUUAGUUGAGACGAGUUACUUGCAUGCGGUGGGUGUUUGACGGAAUGCUUCACUAGCAUCCUAUAGAAACGCGCACAUGCGUGUACCUAGACAUCACCUUAUGGGAUUUCUUUGUUAUCUUGCUCACGUGGUAGAUGGGAUUUGCUCCUCUAAGUGACCAUCACACAAGAGAUCUCGAUGCCCAAAUCAUUUCCUGGUCCUUUGCUUUCUAUUUGCGGUUCUUACAGGAAACAUAAUCCUGCUUAUAUAUCAAUUCGUUCCAACUAGACAUGUUAGUUUGUUGGGGCUAAUUAAUUGGUUCCCGGUGCAAAUUCGGUGGGUUAGAUGAGUCAACAACAUGUUUGCUUCAUGGGGUGGAUUGGGCUGUAUUGGAUGGGUCACAUGGGUUGAGUUUACUUCAUCUGGCCACCAUUGAUAAACAUACAUGCCACUAAGUUCAGGAAAGGCUUAGGUGCCCACAGAUGAUACAAGCACAUUGUUGCAGGGUGCUCACGAAACCGCCUUUGAGAAGUAUCGGGAUCCUGGAACAUCUAAGAUUUCUACAUGAACCUUUAUGCAAGUAAUUUAAUUUUACUCCUUUUCAUGGCUGAAAUGAUUUCUGCCUGGACACUAUACGCUAUGCCAGGAUUGUUGUUUGCAUAGUCACACUUUGAUUUUAUUGUUUGUUUAUACAACACGGCUGGAAAUCCAAUGAUUUAUGGUAAUAAUUCUGGAGAUAACUACUCUUUUGUGUCACUUGACCCCACUCUCUUACCCACCAGAUGAUAUAAAAAGUGAGAUCUUUCCAUUGUUCAAAUUUGGGAAACAGAAGAAAAUAACUGUCUUUUUUUUGGGGUGGCACUCACAUGUCUCCUUUUCCUCAGCUCAGCCACAACAAGGCAUUGCAAAGAGCCAUCACAUAGCUACAAUGUGUGGAGUAAUUAUUGGUACAAUAGCUUUUUUGCUGUUGGAGUUGGUACACUUCUUUGGUGGCAUCACAGGCAAAAACAGCAUAUCUUUUUUGGUGUUAAUGGGCAUAUCUGGUACAUUGGACAGAGAAGACAAUUCAUGUUCAAGCGAGUGUUGAGUCUGCCUGGACGCCUAGGAAACAAGGAAUCACUGUUUCCCAUGGCGAGCUGGAGAUACCUGGAUGACUGGACAUGCGUAGACAACGCCUUUGAAACACUAUACAACUGUUUUCUGUCUUCGCUCUCACUAAUAAGGAAAUUAAACUUCUCCACAUAUGGUUCGAAUGAGCCAUACCUUGUAGAUUCCACUGCUGGGAUCCUGGGAUACCCAUGAACCCUUGAGUAUGCAGAAACUCCAGUAGGCCUUAUUACCUUAAUUGUGUCUAAAUAAAAUAGGUAGCGAGCUUUUAUGUUUGACAAGUGUAGGUACCAUCCUUGAGACAAUAGAAACCUCACCUUUGCUGAAGUA
This is a long non-coding RNA of Zea mays, 1974 nucleotides long. RefSeq lists it as uncharacterized. The record is from RefSeq and is a predicted model, not a curated record. The transcript has 2 exons. Lineage: Eukaryota; Viridiplantae; Streptophyta; Magnoliopsida; Poales; Poaceae.